Molecule: ribosomal RNA, 492 nt
Filed under: uncultured bacterium
Lineage: Bacteria
Description: partial 16S ribosomal RNA
Rfam family: Bacterial small subunit ribosomal RNA
Source: RNAcentral
AUUGAACGCUGGCGGCAUGCUUUACACAUGCAAGUCGAACGGUAACAGGCCUUCGGGUGCUGACGAGUGGCGAACGGGUGAGUAAUGCAUCGGAACGUACCCAGAGGUGGGGGAUAACGCAGCGAAAGCUGUGCUAAUACCGCAUGUGAUCUGAGGAUGAAAGCGGGGGACCGAGCAGCAAUGUUUGGCCUCGCGCCUUUGGAGCGGCCGAUGUCGGAUUAGCUAGUUGGUGGGGUAAAGGCCUACCAAGGCGACGAUCCGUAGCUGGUCUGAGAGGACGACCAGCCACACUGGGACUGAGACACGGCCCAGACUCCUACGGGGGGCAGCAGUGGGGAAUUUUGGACAAUGGGCGCAAGCCUGAUCCAGAAAUGCCGCGUGCGGGAAGAAGGCCUUCGGGUUGUAAACCGCUUUUGGCAGGAACGAAACGGUGUCCGCUAAUACCGGGCGCUAAUGACGGUACCUGCAGAAUAAGCACCGGCUAACUACGUG